This 253-nucleotide ribosomal RNA is filed under the name uncultured bacterium. Its description in RNAcentral is "partial 16S ribosomal RNA". It matches the Rfam family "Bacterial small subunit ribosomal RNA", at positions 524 to 776 of the family's 1533-position model. The record is from RNAcentral.
UACAGAGGACGCGAGCGUUAAUGGGAAUUACUGGGCGUAAAGCGUGCGUAGACGGUCGUGCAAGUCGGGUGUGAAAGCCCCAGGCUCAACCUGGGAAUUGAAUUCGAGACUGCCCGGCUAGGGUGCGGAAGAGGGAAGCGGAAUUUCCGGUGUAGCGGUGAAAUGCGUAGAUAUCGGAAGGAACACCAGUGGCGAAAGCGGCUUCCUGGUCCGACACCGACGUUCAGGCACGAAAGCGUGGGGAGCAAACAGG